CAUACAACAAAACAAACAUUAAUAUGCAGAAAUUGUUUUAAAAAAUACGCUUCUGGAUUUGGCUGCACUCUAGAAGUCAACUAUCUGUUCUCACUCUGCAAAUGUAGACAAAGAUGUGUCCUGCCCUGAAGAUCUGGUGGGCUAAUUCAUAGCUCCAACAUGAAUGGUACAUAUGUUCAAGAUAAAAUUGUCAAGCUUGAUGUUGUGAGUCAUCUCAACCAACGCCUACAAGAUCUCCCCUACUGUUAGCAGCAAAAUUGCCCUCAUUUUUGGAGCAUGAGCAGUACAGACAAUGACGCAAAGGUAAGAACUCUGAGAAGAACAACCUGCCUGCUCUAAGUGAAGAUCAGGUUCAAGACCAUCUAAAGAACAUGAACCACAGGUCCAUGGGACCUGAUGAGAUCCAGCCGUGGGUUCUGAGGGAACUUGUGGACAAAGUUGCCAAACCACUAUCAAUCAUAUUUGAAAGGUUGUGGAAGUCUGGUGAAGUUCCCACUGACUGGAAAAGGGAAAACAUUACCCCCAUUUC
Molecule: long non-coding RNA, 529 nt
Filed under: Gallus gallus (chicken)
Lineage: Eukaryota; Metazoa; Chordata; Aves; Galliformes; Phasianidae
Description: lncRNA (ENSGALG00010004918.1)
Source: RNAcentral